RNAcentral lists this ribosomal RNA (778 nucleotides) under uncultured Neocallimastigales. RNAcentral describes it as "partial large subunit ribosomal RNA". It matches the Rfam family "Eukaryotic large subunit ribosomal RNA", at positions 24 to 641 of the family's 3401-position model. Lineage: Eukaryota; Fungi; Neocallimastigomycota; Neocallimastigomycetes; Neocallimastigales. The record is from RNAcentral.
UUAUCUCUGUAGAGUCUGCAUAUCAAUAAGCGGAGGAAAAGAAAACUAACUAGGAUUCCCUUAGUAACGGCGAGUGAAGCGGGAAGAGCUCAAAUUUGAAAUCUUCAAGGUUUUACCUUGACGAAUUGUAGUUUAAAGAAGUGUUUUCUGUUGGUGUUUUGGUAAAAGUUCUUUGGAAUAGGACAUCAUAGAGGGUGAGAAUCCCGUAUUUGACCAUUACUUCCAGCGUUGUGAUACACUUUCAAAGAGUCGGAUUGUUUGGGAAUGCAGUCCAAAAUGGGUGGUAAAUUUCAUCUAAAGCUAAAUAUUGGCGAGAGACCGAUAGCGAACAAGUACUGUGAGGGAAAGAUGAAAAGAACUUUGAAAAGAGAGUUAAACAGUACGUGAAAUUGUCAAAAGGGAAGCGUUUGACACCAGUGUUGUUUUUCUCGAAAAUCAAUUAAAAAAAGUUGGAUUUUGUAUUGUUAAGACCUUAUCAGCUUACUGUACUCUUUUCUUGCUUUUUUUAAUGCACUUUUCGUUUAACAAGUCAACAUCAAUUUCUUUUGUUGUAAAAGAGUCAUUGGAAGGUGGCUUUCACUUCGGUGAAAGUGUUUAUAGCCUUUGGCUUCUGCAAUCGGAGAGAUUGAGGUCUACAGCGUAGAUCCUUCGGGGCUAGAUACGUAGAUGCUAAGUUAUAGUUUUUUUAUAGACAACUUGUUGACUAUAAUUAAUCAUGUAGCUUACUCGUUUGCGCUAUUUUACCUACGCUUAGGAUGUUGAUAGUCACAGCGUGUAC